This 492-nucleotide ribosomal RNA is filed under the name uncultured bacterium. RNAcentral's name for it is "partial 16S ribosomal RNA". It matches the Rfam family "Bacterial small subunit ribosomal RNA", at positions 29 to 507 of the family's 1533-position model. The record is from RNAcentral.
AGUGAACGCUGGCGGUAGGCCUAACACAUGCAAGUCGAACGGCAGCACAGUAAGAGCUUGCUCUUACGGGUGGCGAGUGGCGGACGGGUGAGGAAUACAUCGGAAUCUACUUUUUCGUGGGGGAUAACGUAGGGAAACUUACGCUAAUACCGCAUACGACCUACGGGUGAAAGCAGGGGAUCUUCGGACCUUGCGCGAUUGAAUGAGCCGAUGCCGGAUUAGCUAGUUGGCGGGGUAAAGGCCCACCAAGGCGACGAUCCGUAGCUGGUCUGAGAGGCUGAUCAGCCACACUGGAACGGAGACACGGUCCAGACUCCUACGGGAGGCAGCAGUGGGGAAUAUUGGACAAUGGGCGCAAGCCUGAUCCAGCCAUACCGCGUGGGUGAAGAAGGCCUUCGGGUUGUAAAGCCCUUUUGUUGGGAAAGAAAAGCAGCAGGUUAAUACCCCGCUGUUCUGACGGUACCCAAAGAAUAAGCACCGGCUAACUUCGUG